UAAYGACUCUCGGCAACGGAUAUCUCGGCUCUCGCAUSGAUGAAGAACGCAGCAAAAUGMGAUACUUGGUGUGAAUUGCAGAAUCCCGUGAAUCAUCGAGUUUUUGAACGCAAGUUGCGCCCGAWGCCUUUCGGCGGAUGGCACGUUUGCCUGGGWGUCACRC
This 163-nucleotide ribosomal RNA is filed under the name Dalechampia volubilis. Its description in RNAcentral is "5.8S ribosomal RNA". It matches the Rfam family "5.8S ribosomal RNA". From Rfam's summary of the family: 5.8S ribosomal RNA (5.8S rRNA) is a component of the large subunit of the eukaryotic ribosome. It is transcribed by RNA polymerase I as part of the 45S precursor that also contains 18S and 28S rRNA. The record is from RNAcentral. Lineage: Eukaryota; Viridiplantae; Streptophyta; Magnoliopsida; Malpighiales; Euphorbiaceae.